This 497-nucleotide ribosomal RNA is filed under the name uncultured bacterium. RNAcentral describes it as "partial 16S ribosomal RNA". It matches the Rfam family "Bacterial small subunit ribosomal RNA", at positions 28 to 507 of the family's 1533-position model. The record is from RNAcentral.
GAUGAACGCUGGCGGCGUGCCUAAUACAUGCAAGUCGAGCGAACAGAUAAGGAGCUUGCUCCUUUGACGUUAGCGGCGGACGGGUGAGUAACACGUGGGUAACCUACCUAUAAGACUGGAAUAACUCCGGGAAACCGGGGCUAAUGCCGGAUAACAUUUAGAACCGCAUGGUUCUAAAGUGAAAGAUGGUUUUGCUAUCACUUAUAGAUGGACCCGCGCCGUAUUAGCUAGCUGGUAAGGUAACGGCUUACCAAGGCAACGAUACGUAGCCGACCUGAGAGGGUGAUCGGCCACACUGGAACUGAGACACGGUCCAGACUCCUACGGGAGGCAGCAGUAGGGAAUCUUCCGCAAUGGGCGAAAGCCUGACGGAGCAACGCCGCGUGAGUGAUGAAGGUCUUCGGACCGUAAAACUCUGUUAUUAGGGAAGAACAAAUGUGUAAGUAACUGUGCACGUCUUGACGGUACCUAAUCAGAAAGCCACGGCUAACUACGUG